RNAcentral lists this long non-coding RNA (985 nucleotides) under Vulpes vulpes (red fox). RNAcentral's name for it is "lncRNA (ENSVVUG00000019597.1)". Lineage: Eukaryota; Metazoa; Chordata; Mammalia; Carnivora; Canidae. The record is from RNAcentral.
UGUGUGACAGAGGUUCCUAGCAGAACACUUGAAAAGGUAAGCUAAUCAAAAUGAAGACACUGUUAGUUCUCGUCUUCAAGACAGCCUUCUUAAAGAUAGUUCACAAUUACAAGACUCAACCAUUGUCGACAAUUUUAUUUUUCUAUUUUAUGCAGGGCCAGGCUUGGACUAUUAUGAAUGUUGCUGAACACUGUUAAUCAAGCUUACACAGCUAUUUUGAUGGCAAACAAUUAGAACUCUGCAGCUCUACCUUGCAAUUAGCUUCAGGGAUAUGGACCUCAGCACCAUAAUAAUGAAAGAGACCUCCUUCAAGCACGACUUCCAAGCAUUGCUGUUACCAAAUUUCAUCAGCCAACUAUCUGCUGUGGCCUGUCAAACAGAAUCCACGUGCAUGAUCUGGAUUUUGGAGGGGACUUGACAUUUCAGUAAAUUAGAAAGUAGAGGGUGCUGGUGCCUUUCACAAGAUGUAAAACGCUUCACUUGGUACUAAUGUACGUAAAGCAAUUAGUUACUUGUCAUGCUGGGCGUUCCCCAAGGCAGUACACUUUCUCCAUUAGUAUUUAUAUCUACAUGCCAUUAUACAUUGGGUAGCACUAAAUAGAUGAGAUAGGUUCAGAGAAUUACUCAAGUCUUGUGCCAUCAAGAAAAGAGAUAUUAGCAAACAUUAUUAGCAUACAGGUGGAGUUGGAUCACUUAGUUUCCAGUGAGAUAUUUAUUUUUAAAUGCUUGCUGAGAAUGCAACCAUUUAAAACUGAUUAAUUAACCCUUAGAGAAGUUAUUUCUUUAUUGAUCGGUAAAUAUUUUUGGCUAGUGAACAUGAUCGUGACAGUUUUGUUAGAAGUCAUCUCCUCUCCCUACCCUUCUUUGAAUAUACGGCCUUCUCAGCUUGAAAAUUCUAAGCCUUCUUGUUUUGGGGGAAAUACUACAUUUAUGAAGAGAAACUCAAUUAAGGGAUCUUAAAAAUAAAGCCAAUCAUGUCCCGUCA